This 492-nucleotide ribosomal RNA is filed under the name uncultured bacterium. RNAcentral describes it as "partial 16S ribosomal RNA". It matches the Rfam family "Bacterial small subunit ribosomal RNA", at positions 30 to 507 of the family's 1533-position model. The record is from RNAcentral.
AUUGAACGCUGGCGGCAUGCUUUACACAUGCAAGUCGAACGGUAACAGGCCUUCGGGUGCUGACGAGUGGCGAACGGGUGAGUAAUGCAUCGGAACGUGCCCAGAGGUGGGGGAUAACGCAGCGAAAGCUGUGCUAAUACCGCAUGUGAUCUGAGGAUGAAAGCGGGGGACCAGGCAGCAAUGUUUGGCCUCGCGCCUUUGGAGCGGCCGAUGUCAGAUUAGGUAGUUGGUGGGGUAAAGGCCUACCAAGCCGACGAUCUGUAGCUGGUCUGAGAGGACGACCAGCCACACUGGGACUGAGACACGGCCCAGACUCCUACGGGAGGCAGCAGUGGGGAAUUUUGGACAAUGGGCGCAAGCCUGAUCCAGCAGUGCCGCGUGCGGGAAGAAGGCCUUCGGGUUGUAAACCGCUUUUGUACGGAACGAAAAGGCUCUGGCUAAUACCUGGGGCUGAUGACGGUACCGUAAGAAUAAGCACCGGCUAACUACGUG